RNAcentral lists this unclassified non-coding RNA (332 nucleotides) under soil metagenome. RNAcentral describes it as "partial contains 5.8S ribosomal RNA, internal transcribed spacer 2, and large subunit ribosomal RNA". The stretch from base 1 to 120 matches the Rfam family "5.8S ribosomal RNA", at positions 35 to 154 of the family's 154-position model. The record is from RNAcentral.
GAUGAAGAACGCAGCGAAAUGCGAUAAGUAAUGUGAAUUGCAGAAUUCAGUGAAUCAUCGAAUCUUUGAACGCACAUUGCGCCCGCCAGUAUUCUGGCGGGCAUGCCUGUUCGAGCGUCAUUUCAACCAUCAAGCCCUGUGCUUGUGUUGGGGGCCUGCGGCUGCCGCAGCCCCCUAAAAGCAGUGGCGGGCUCGCUGUCAUUCCGAGCGCAGUAACUUAUCUCGCUUUGGUCGUGGCGGUGGGCACCUGCCGUAAAACACUCUUUUUCACAAGGUUGACCUCGGAUCAGGUAGGAAUACCCGCUGAACUUAAGCAUAUCAUAAGCGGAGGA